Molecule: unclassified non-coding RNA, 205 nt
Filed under: Hevea brasiliensis (rubber tree)
Lineage: Eukaryota; Viridiplantae; Streptophyta; Magnoliopsida; Malpighiales; Euphorbiaceae
Source: RNAcentral
AAAAGGUGGAUGCAUUAUCAACUUUGAGAACUCAUACAUAUUCAUGUUUCAAAUUAAGCCCUCCUGUAGAGGAAAUGGUGGAAAGAAAGCAUUUCAACUCUGAAGAACAAGAGACUUGCCAAGAAUUAUAUCAUCUGUGGAGAAGUCGGCCUCUUUCCGGAAUGUCCCCCGACCAAAGUCUAGGUUAUAUGAGUCUGCCAGACCA